RNAcentral lists this ribosomal RNA (287 nucleotides) under uncultured bacterium. Its description in RNAcentral is "partial 16S ribosomal RNA". It matches the Rfam family "Bacterial small subunit ribosomal RNA", at positions 400 to 679 of the family's 1533-position model. The record is from RNAcentral.
CGUGAGUGAAGAAGGCCUUCGGGUUGUAAAGCUCUUUCGUCCGGGAAGAAAUCGUGUUGUCUAACAUAGGGCGUGGAUGACGGUACCGGAAUAAGAAGCACCGGCUAACUUCGUGCCAGCACCCGCGGUAAUACGUAGGGUGCGAGCGUUAAUCGGAAUUACUGGGCGUAAAGCGUGCGCAGGCGGUUUUGUAAGUCAGAUGUGAAAGCCACGGGCUUAACCUGGGAAUUGCGUUUGAGCCUGCAAGGCUAGAGUGCGGCAGAGGGGGGUGGAAUUCCUGGUGUAGC